This 600-nucleotide ribosomal RNA is filed under the name Acinetobacter baumannii. RNAcentral's name for it is "bacterial LSU rRNA". It matches the Rfam family "Bacterial large subunit ribosomal RNA", at positions 2349 to 2925 of the family's 2925-position model. The record is from RNAcentral. Lineage: Bacteria; Pseudomonadati; Pseudomonadota; Gammaproteobacteria; Moraxellales; Moraxellaceae.
GUAUAAAGGCAAAAGCGCGCUUAACUGCGAGACCCACAAGUCGAGCAGGUACGAAAGUAGGUCUUAGUGAUCCGGUGGUUCUGUAUGGAAGGGCCAUCGCUCAACGGAUAAAAGGUACUCUGGGGAUAACAGGCUGAUACCGCCCAAGAGUUCAUAUCGACGGCGGUGUUUGGCACCUCGAUGUCGGCUCAUCUCAUCCUGGGGCUGAAGCAGGUCCCAAGGGUAUGGCUGUUCGCCAUUUAAAGAGGUACGCGAGCUGGGUUUAGAACGUCGUGAGACAGUUCGGUCCCUAUCUACCGUGGGCGCUGGAAAUUUGAGAGGAUCUGCUCCUAGUACGAGAGGACCAGAGUGGACGAACCUCUGGUGUACCGGUUGUGACGCCAGUCGCAUCGCCGGGUAGCUAUGUUCGGAAGGGAUAACCGCUGAAAGCAUCUAAGCGGGAAGCCUACCUCAAGAUAAGAUUUCCCUAGGACUUUAUGUCCUCUAAAGAGCCGUUCGAGACUAGGACGUUGAUAGGUUGGAUGUGGAAGCAUAGUGAUAUGUGAAGCUGACCAAUACUAAUUGCUCGUGAGGCUUGACUAUACAACACCCAAGCAGUUG